GCUACUAGAAGAACCUAGUCAGCUCCAGUCCCCUUCCAUUUUCCUCGCCUCACUACCAAAAGCUAGGGUUUACAGUUUCUACAAUUUCAAAAUUUUUUGAAUCUGUAGUAAUCGUAUUUGAAGGUAAUCGGAAAAAGCUAUGGACCCGAUGAAGUUGAAUCAACUGAAGCAAUUCGUUGAACAGUGCAAAUCCAAUCCUUCCAUUCUCUCCGAUCCUUCUCUUUCAUUUUUCCGUGACUACAUUGAGAAUCUCGGUGCUAAACUUCCUCCGGCUGCUUACGACACCGGCGAUUACAAAGAGAAGUCCCAUGCGGUGGAUGCGAGUGAUGAUGAGAUGGAUGAUGAUGAGAAUGAUGCUAAUAUCAAAGAGACAGUUGAAGAAGAGGAGGAGCCUGAGAUAAUUGAAUCUGAUAUUGAGCUUGAUGAGAGUGACACUGUGGAACCUGACAAUGAUGAGCCACAGAAGAUGGGAGACCCUUCUGUGGAGGUGACUGAAGAAAGCCGUGAUGCUUCUCAGGAGUCCAAAGCUGAGGCCAUGGAAGCAAUUUCUGAAGGUAAGUUAGAAGAUGCAAUUGAGCAUCUUACGAAGGCAGUUCUCCUCAAUCCUAAAUCAGCAAUUAUGUAUGCUACUAGAGCUAGUGUUUAUAUCAAGAUGAAGAAGCCAAACGCUGCCAUACGAGAUGCAACUGCAGCAUUGGAGUUGAAUCCAGAUUCUGCUAAAGGUUACAAAUCUCGUGGCAUUGCCAGAGCCAUGCUGGGACAGUGGGAGGCAGCUGCUAAGGAUCUUCAUGUGGCUUCGAAGCUGGACUAUGAUGAGGAAAUAAGUGCUGUGCUUAAGAAGGUUGAGCCCAAUGCACAUAGAAUUGAAGAACACCGCAGGAAAUAUGAUAGGUUGCGCAAAGAACGAGAAGAUAGAAAGAUUGAGCGUGAGAGA
This 934-nucleotide unclassified non-coding RNA is filed under the name Hevea brasiliensis (rubber tree). The record is from RNAcentral. Lineage: Eukaryota; Viridiplantae; Streptophyta; Magnoliopsida; Malpighiales; Euphorbiaceae.